UGCGAGUCAUUGUAGCAAUACAAGGCAGACGGCUCAGUAACGCGUAGUCAAUCUACCCUAUGGACGGGAAUAACCUCGGGAAACUGAGAAUAAUGCCCGACAGAACAUUAUACCUGGAACGAUUUAUGUUUCAAAUGAUUUAUCGCCGUAGGAUGGGACUGCGGCCUAUCAGUUUGUUGGUGAGGUAAUGGCCCACCAAGACUAUUACAGGUACGGGCUCUGAGAGGAGUAGCCCGGAGAUGGGUACUGAGACACGGACCCAGGCCCUAUGGGGCGCAGCAGGCGAGAAAACUUUGCAAUGUGCGAAAGCACGACAAGGUUAAUCCGAGUGGUUUCUGCUAAAGAAACCUUUUGCUAGUCCUAGAAACACUAGUGAAUAAGGGAUGGGCAAGUUCUGGUGUCAGCCGCCGCGGUAAAACCAGCACCUCAAGUGGUCAGGAUGAUUAUUGGGCCUAAAGCAUCCGUAGCUCGUUUUGUAAGUUUUCGGUUAAAUCCAUACGCUUAACGUAUGGGCUGCCGGGAAUACUGCAUAACUAGGAAGUGGGAGAGGUAGACGGUACUCGGUAGGAAGGGGUAAAAUCCUUUGAUCUAUUGAUGACCACCUGUGGCGAAGGCGGUCUACCAGAACACGUUCGACGGUGAGGGAUGAAAGCUGGGGGAGCAAACCGGAUUAGAUACCCGGGUAGUCCCAGCUGUAAACUAUGCAAACUCAGUGAUGCAUUGGCUUGUGGCCAAUGCAGUGCUGCAGGGAAGCCGUUAAGUUUGCCGCCUGGGAAGUACGUACGCAAGUAUGAAACUUAAAGGAAUUGGCGGGGGAGCACCACAAGGGGUGAAGCCUGCGGU
This 843-nucleotide ribosomal RNA is filed under the name uncultured archaeon. RNAcentral describes it as "bacterial SSU rRNA". It matches the Rfam family "Archaeal small subunit ribosomal RNA", at positions 52 to 901 of the family's 1478-position model. The record is from RNAcentral.